Molecule: unclassified non-coding RNA, 21 nt
Filed under: Dictyostelium discoideum
Lineage: Eukaryota; Evosea; Eumycetozoa; Dictyosteliales; Dictyosteliaceae
Source: RNAcentral
AGUCUACCUUCUAUUAUGAAU